Molecule: transfer RNA, 85 nt
Filed under: Methanobacteriota archaeon
Lineage: Archaea; Methanobacteriati; Methanobacteriota
Also listed under: 1 other name
Description: Euryarchaeota archaeon tRNA-Ser
Rfam family: tRNA
About the family: Transfer RNA (tRNA) molecules are approximately 80 nucleotides in length. Their secondary structure includes four short double-helical elements and three loops (D, anti-codon, and T loops).
Source: RNAcentral
GCGGCGAUCGCAUAGCCUGGUAUUGCGCCGGAUUUGAAAUCCGGUGUCUGAUGACUCGGGGGUUCGAAUCCCUCUCGCCGCGCCA